UGCCAGCCGCCGCGGUAACACGGGGGGUGCGAGCGUUAAUCGGAAUCACUGGGCGUAAAGCGCACGUAGGCGGACUUUUAAGUCAGAUGUGAAAUCCCGAGGCUCAACCUCGGAACUGCAUUUGAAACUGGGAGUCUAGAGAUCAGGAGAGGUUAGUGGAAUACCGAGUGUAGAGGUGAAAUUCGUAGAUAUUCGGUGGAACACCAGUGGCGAAGGCGACUAACUGGACUGAUACUGACGCUGAGGUGCGAAAGUGUGGGGAGCAAACAGGAUUAGAUA
Molecule: ribosomal RNA, 279 nt
Filed under: uncultured bacterium
Lineage: Bacteria
Description: partial 16S ribosomal RNA
Rfam family: Bacterial small subunit ribosomal RNA
Source: RNAcentral